This 95-nucleotide transfer RNA is filed under the name Cellulomonas uda. RNAcentral describes it as "tRNA-Arg". Lineage: Bacteria; Bacillati; Actinomycetota; Actinomycetes; Micrococcales; Cellulomonadaceae. The record is from RNAcentral.
GCCGGUGUCGGCGACGGGACGCGACGCCGUCCGGUCCGGGCGGGGUGGCGACCGCUCGCGCGGCCCGUGCGCCGUUCCGGUCGGCGCGUCCGCCC